UUUUUCUAGCUGAAUCAAACAACUUGUCUGCCAUCACGUCUUUUGGGAAAAGUAAAUUUAAAUCACCAUCCAAUAGACUGGAUUUCUCAUGUUCAAGAGGUUUUGUUUCGGUAUGAGAGAAAAAAGGAUGUCUAGGUGAUGUCUUUAGGUUCCAUUUGCCGUAGUGACCAGUUGUUUGCCUUGUCUAGAAAGCAAAAUUUCCUAAUUGAAAACAACUAAUGUCUUAAGCAAAACUUUAUUAUCUAAAUGGGAAAAACAGAAUGAGACCCAUAAAAGUAUCUUUAAAAAGACUCAACCAUUAUUUUCAAAUUCGGGACCAUUCUCUAAGAAUACCAAUACUUUUCUUGUAAGGUCUUCAUAGACUGAAAACUAGGAUUGUGAAAUUUCAAUCAUUAUCCAUUGCAAUUCAAUUGACGACUUAUCCAAUCUGCACUUUUCAAGCAUUGCUAGAAAAGCGGUUUUUUUAAAUUUUUAGAUGGCAACUGGCCACAAGCAUGCAUCAAGAUAUUGUUUGGGAAUAAACGUUAUAUGACAAAUA
This is a long non-coding RNA of Xenia sp. Carnegie-2017, 538 nucleotides long. RefSeq lists it as uncharacterized. The transcript is spliced from 2 exons. NCBI's taxonomy places the organism in Eukaryota, Metazoa, Cnidaria, Anthozoa, Malacalcyonacea, Xeniidae. The record is from RefSeq and is a predicted model, not a curated record.